RNAcentral lists this ribosomal RNA (494 nucleotides) under uncultured bacterium. Its description in RNAcentral is "partial 16S ribosomal RNA". It matches the Rfam family "Bacterial small subunit ribosomal RNA", at positions 899 to 1397 of the family's 1533-position model. The record is from RNAcentral.
ACUCAAAUGAAUUGACGGGGACCCGCACAAGCGGUGGAUGAUGUGGUUUAAUUCGAUGCAACGCGAAAAACCUUACCUACCCUUGACAUGUCUGGGAUUUUGCAGAGAUGUGAAAGUGCUCGAAAGAGAACCAGAACACAGGUGCUGCAUGGCCGUCGUCAGCUCGUGUCGUGAGAUGUUGGGUUAAGUCCCGCAACGAGCGCAACCCUUGUCAUUAGUUGCUACGAAAGGGCACUCUAAUGAGACUGCCGGUGAUAAACCGGAGGAAGGUGGGGAUGACGUCAGGUCAUCAUGGCCCUUAUGGGUAGGGCUACACACGUCAUACAAUGGCCGGUACAAAGGGCAGCCAACCCGCGAGGGGGAGCCAAUCCCAAAAAACCGGUCGUAGUCCGGAUCGCAGUCUGCAACUCGACUGCGUGAAGUCGGAAUCGCUAGUAAUCGUGGAUCAGCAUGCCGCGGUGAAUACGUUCCCGGGUCUUGUACACACCGCCCGU